GAUUUGGGGUUCUUAGUUUUGUGGUCCGAAAGCUUUAUUUAUUUAUUUAUUUAUUUAUUUAUUUAUUUCACUUAUUGCAAAGUAUUUCUAUCUCUCCUUCCAUCCAAAGGUGUCCGUGUGGGUCACAUAUGCUUUCAGAUAAAUGAGACAUAGUUUAAACAGUACCCUAGUGCCAGCCUCGCACAGAAUGCUGGGAGUUGUAAUUCAGAAACAUCUGGAGGUGCAUCCUGCCUUUAUGGUGGCUGGAAUAUCACCUCCUCCUAUGGGGCAAAAAACCCAAAAACAGUACCUUCCGCAUUAGAGUGGCACAUCUUCACAGAAUGGACAUAUUUUCAAAUAGUAAGGACUUCUCAAAUAUUUAAUAUAAAAGCAUUUAAAUUUCAUAAAAAUUAGUUUCAAAGGAAUUCCCAUACUGAACAGAGAAAAGGCUAAGAUGUAACACCUAAGGGUAACAUUUCCNGAUGUGUCUGCACUGUACCUGUUGAUAAAUAAUUUCAGCUCAGCUGUGCUUCCAUUAAGAACGUUUGAAGUUUUUGAAUUUGUUUCUACCACUCUGGAAUAGUAGUAAACAGCAAACGUUCAGAAAAAGACUCUUGGCGUGUGUGCCCUCCGUGCUGACCCAUAAUGUAUCUUCUGCUGUUGCCAAAUCUAUUAACUGUUGAAUUUGAAAAGCGUGAUAAUACUUGCUGAUGUCUGACAGACUUCAGUCUCUCCUCUGGGUUUUCCUCUGUAGCUGAGGGAAGGGGAGUCUUGGCAUUUUACUUUGAAAACCAAAGUUGCUUAAAACUUUUCUCCAGGACUCUCGAGUCUGCACUGGAAUAUACCAAGGGGAAACAUGGCUCAGAAAACAACGCGCUCCGCUAUGAACACCGAGCUCUCAAUAGGAUAUUUGGCUUUUUAAGUUCAUUGCUGGAUUGUACUUUUCCCUGGAGAACUGGUGUGCAGGCAUUGUUCUUGUUUCCAGUGCCUCUGUAUGGGCCUGAUCAGGCUUGGCUUCCAUACUGGCAGUAUUUAUUAUGAAUGCAAACCUCUGGAGGAUGCAGAGCAUAGAGGUGAGCCAAAAAUUCUGUAAUAUUCUUCUUUUGCUCCCCCCUAACUCAGCUAAACUUUUGACCUUAACCUAAGAGGGUGGAGAAAAGUAAGGCUAGCAGAAAGUUUCCACAUCUGCCACAACCCUUAGGUAUAGUUCCUCUUUCUAAACCAUAAUUACAUAACACAGGAUUACAGAACACUGUGUGGACUUUCCCUUUCCAUAUACAAGCCUGACUCGUUCUGGUGAAGUUCUGAAUAGUUGUCCCCAAACUAGCAAGUUUUUCCCCCUUAAAGUCAUGCUAUAUAGACCCCCACACAUUCUGGAAAAGAAAGCAGAUGAUGGGGCACUGUGUGAGAUGGGAUGCUGGACUAGAUGGGCUGUGGCCUGAUCCAGCAGGUGGUAUCAAUGGAUCAAUGGCUACCAGAAUCUCUGAAUCUCUAAUUCAGUGCCAACNCAUCUGAAAUUUGGCCCUAAUGAAUAUAGCGGCUUCUGUGCACAUUAGCCAACGCUGAGCUGAAAGUUCCAUGAAAAGUAGAACCGACUCACCUUCUGAGCUGCUGUGUGUUGGGGGCAAUGCUUACUUUACCCUUUUGGAUCUGUGACACCACUAGCCCCAGAGCUUAGCAAAUAUAUGUCUCCAUCUCUUCUAGCCACUGUGAUGUGUCUCAGGACAUGGAUGAAUCUGUUUGAAGGACCAAAAUGAAGCACCUCCAUUUUGUUUUCAGUGUGCAGUAUUCACUGCUUUGCCCCGUCUUCCUCACAACGGGUCUUGUCAGGUCCUGGAACUUGCAGUGACACUUUUUUUGAGGGUAUUGUUGACAUUUCUCAUCCUUUUUAACACAGCUGUUUUUG
Molecule: long non-coding RNA, 1885 nt
Organism: Salvator merianae (Argentine black and white tegu)
Lineage: Eukaryota; Metazoa; Chordata; Lepidosauria; Squamata; Teiidae
Source: Ensembl